Molecule: small RNA, 3123 nt
Filed under: Pan troglodytes (chimpanzee)
Lineage: Eukaryota; Metazoa; Chordata; Mammalia; Primates; Hominidae
Description: processed transcript
Source: RNAcentral
AUGUAGCCCCAGGCCGAAGACGGCCUCCAGGCAGUGCUCCCUGAGCUAUGUACUGUCUUUCUCUUCUUGCAGGGUUAAAACACCAGGCAAAAAGAAGCAUUAAUGAGAUGCUGGCAGACAGACACCUCCAGAGAGACAAUCUUCAUGCACAGGUGAGAGGCAGGACCACCAGCUGCUCUAAGGGGUCCUUUCCCUUCCAGGGAGAAGAAGCCCCAGGAACUGGGUUGGGUCAGAGAUUCAGCGCUGGAGCUCUCAUGGUCCUGGGGGCUGCUGGGGCCUGCAGGUGGGAUAGAGCCUCUGCCUUCAGGAACCCACAGUCUGAUGGAAGAGACAGAGCCAUGCCCUCAGGGAGCUCCCAGCCUAAUGAGGGAGACCUGGCCCCACUCUGGGGCAAUGACCUAUUUUCACAGAAGCAAAUCUGAGCCUCUCAUCUGAGAAGUCUGGUGAAAUGCGAGAGACAUGGUGGGGAAAUAGGACCUUGCGGGGCCCAGAGGUGGGGUGGGUAAGAUUCAGGGGAAUCCUGUGAGAACAGGUGAAGCAAGGUGUCAGGAAGGGGCAGGGCUCUCCCCAAGGAUAAAAAAUGCCUGCCCCAUGCAAGGUGAAGGGGCUAGCACAGAGUCGGUGCUCAGUUAAUGGGAGGAGGGCCCUUACCCCUUCCCGGUAGUGCCCAGCGCUUUCUCCUAAGCUGCUGAGAAGGGACAGGAGCAUCAGCCAUGCUGUGGCUGGGGCUGGGACAGUGUGUUGUGCUGACAAGAACAUUUGCAUCCAGAAACUGCCUGGGUUCGAACCCCAGCUUUGGCACAUCCUAGCCUUGUGCACUUGAGCAGGUUGCCUGAGCCUCAGUUUCCCCCGGACAGCAAUGGUUUCUAUUGCACAAAGCUGUUGUGAGGCUUCAAGGAGCUAGCGGGCCCAGAGGGCUCCACACGGGCCCAGCGCACAGUAGGUGCUUGGCCAGUGUUAUGCUCUUCCUAGUCCUGGGCUGCCCAGCUGCCUCCUUCCCCAGAAAUGCAUUGACUGGAACCGUAAUGUGCUGAAGCGGGAGCUGGGCCUGGCAGAGAGUGACAUCGUGGACAUUCCCCAGCUCUUCUUCCUGAAAAACUUCUACGCGGAAGCCUUCUUCCCAGACAUGGUUAACAUGGUGGUCUUAGGCAAGUACCUGGGCAUCCCCAAGCCCUACGGGCCCAUCAUCAAUGGCCGCUGCUGCCUGGAGGAGAAGGUGCAGUCCCUGCUGGAGCCUCUGGGCCUGCACUGCAUCUUCAUUGAUGACUACUUGUCCUACCACGAGCUGCAGGGGGAGAUCCACUGUGGCACCAACGUGCGCAGGAAGCCCUUUCCCUUCAAAUGGUGGAACAUGGUGCCCUGAGCCUGCCCCCACCCACCAUCCUCUCUGCCCUCUUGCUAGGGAACCCUGCCAGGGUGAGGGCAAGGAACAACCACCUGGCCUCCAUUCUCUUGGGGGAGUCUUGGCACUUUGCAAACAUCCUGGCCACCGUGGGCACCAGGACACAGGGAUGGAUACCACCUACCCUUGCCUCUGGAAUGGCCUACCCAACCCGAGAAGAAUGCACCUCAUUCUUCCCUGGCCUCUUUCCCACCCACAGCCCCCAGAGGCUCUAGAUCAACAAUGUUAGCAAGUUCGAGAAUGGCUGUGGGAGGCCUAGGGAGAUGGGCCCCACUUAGAAUUGCUCCCCCUUCAUUCUGAUGCCUCCCUGGGGAACAAGGAUAAUGACUUUGCAUCUGUACCUGGAACGGGGCCUGGGGGACCUGGGGUCUGGUGUGCCAGGCACCAGGCUGCCUCUGCUCUUGGAAAACUAGGAAAGGGGAUCAGAAACAUCCUCUCCCCGCUCUAGGUUUCUUCUCCCAAAGGGGACCCAAGGCUGUGACACUUACCUCCACCCCCAUCCAGCACCCUUCAGCUGUGUGUGGACAAACAAGGACAGAAAAACCCAGUGUCCAAGGGCCAAUUUAAAUAGAAAAAAGACAACAAAAUUUUAAUAGCUGACUCCGACCUCAGAAGAGUGAUUGCUACCUUUCUGGAAAGACUUUAAUUACCAGAGCUGGCUUCUCCCAGCUCAGAAAUGCUGAGAGGCCAACGUGAGGCCUGAGGACACACAAAGGAUGACGGGGCAGGAGGGGAUGAGGUCAGGGUAGCAGAGUGUGUGACGACGGAUUUGGGGGCCUAGAGGUGUCCGUGGUUCCUGGGCUGGGAUUUUGGACUCUGGAUUUGAAGGGAGCUGGAGCUUCCAGAUGUAGCAGGGGUAGGGGGCCAGAUGUUAGAAGAGGGUGUGUGUGUUGGGAGGAAAUUAGGUUAUCUCUGAAGGUGGAGUUUAAUUUCCUUUAAUAGUCUUUAAUUAUUCCCCUUCAUUCUGCAGGCAGUGGGAGGGGAAGGCUUGCCCGGUCUCUCUCAGCAACCCAGGGACCCUGCACAUAGCUUAGGUUUCAUCCCUGAAUAAACCGCUGUGCAGGCCCAUGUCCCCUCCCACAGUAGGGAAGACAGCUGCCACGGGAGGUUAAUAGCCCUGAGUUAGGUCACUGAGACAUGCACAGGCAGGCUGGUUCAGCUGGGCUGCAGGGCACGGGCAGGAGGAAGCCAGCCUACCCUCUUCCCCCACUGCCAGUGAGGCCAUUGUAGGGCAGUUGGCCCUAGGGCUUCGGUCCAUCUAGGUUUUCAGUGGUCCCUGCUGAGACCUCACACUGAGCCAACUACUGUCACUCUUUUAACCAAGAAAAGCUAGCCUGGAACUGCUAUGGUUAAAGUGGGUGAGCGGGAACCUGAAAAUCCCCUUCUGGAAGGUUCUACAGAACUCUAUUCGCAAGCUCCUGCUUUAACCUGAGCGUCCUCUGCUCAGGAUCAUACCCCAGCCUGCACUGAGUCAAGAAGGAGAAGGAGGCUCUGAAGGGGCCGGGGGUGUGAGCUGGGGUUGGGACUCCCCUGAGAAAGAGCUGUGGGUAGGAAGGGAGUGAGCAUUGCAGAGAUAGGGCUGGGGGUCGGGGCCACACUGAGUGUGGGAAGCUCUGGAGUUGUUGCUGGGCCAUCGAGGGGCCCUGGUGUUGGCUCUGAGAAUGUUCUGGGUGACCAGUCACCUACUUUCUGAUCAAUAAAAAUGUCGACAUGCAUUUCUU